GAACGCCUCAUGUGAGCAGCCACAACACCGGUAGUGCAGUACAGAAGAAAGGUGACGGCAUGAAGUUGUUCAUUGUUCUGUGAACAACUUAGACGAACAAAUAAAAGAGAGGGGGUCUUCACGUGACACAAGGUGGCUCAGGUUGCACCGUGGGAGACCUUCCCGUCCUGCUCCGCACCCCACCCCCACCCAACAAACACACACCACUGAAACUUACCGGACGGUACGAAAUGGAGGACCUUUCUGCCUUCCAUGUUCUCUAGGGGUUCAGGGACCAUUGUCAGGCUCGAGGUGAGCAAUGUGGAAGGAUCCCAGGAUGCAGACAUGCGCAGUUUUAAUAGAGAUGCAAAAAAACAUAAGACAAGAAUACGACCAUGGGGAUACUACCAUGUGAGCUGGGCUCCUGGGCUGCAGGAUGGCAGAAGAAGACAAGACACUGAGGUACAGUAAGUCAAUCAGUAGGAGACUAACAUGCGGUAGCAGGAACAGCGAAAGGGAAUUAUCCAGCAUAGCCUAGCUGCAGCUGAAGUGAUUUUGAAUGGGAGCUAAUGAGGAACAGCUGCAGGGGUUCAGUAGCUCCGCCCAGCUGACAUUCAGAAGGUGUCAGGAUCUGAAGGAGUAUUUCACAAUGUAGCUUUCUUUUUUGUCCACCUCAGACAAAACAAGCCGUGCAACUAUCUCAUCCAAUUAAUGAUGAAUCUUGGAGGAAACACCUGGUUUAUCACUUCCUUUUCCAUUUAUUUUCUUUUUUAACCAUUUAUUUUGUUAAUUUUGUAUACUUGUAUUUCCUUAUUUCCUUUUUGUUGUGCAGCAACCUGUUCUGGCACUAUUUCACUCUGGAAAUUGGAUUGAAAAUUAUGCCACAUUUGCUGUAUGUUUUAUACUUUUGUCUAAAUAAAAAAAAUUGAAAUAAAAAAAUC
This is a long non-coding RNA of Dunckerocampus dactyliophorus (ringed pipefish), 920 nucleotides long. RefSeq lists it as uncharacterized. Lineage: Eukaryota; Metazoa; Chordata; Actinopteri; Syngnathiformes; Syngnathidae. The transcript has 3 exons. The record is from RefSeq and is a predicted model, not a curated record.